Molecule: microRNA precursor, 81 nt
Filed under: Pelodiscus sinensis (Chinese soft-shelled turtle)
Lineage: Eukaryota; Metazoa; Chordata; Testudines; Trionychidae
Description: mir-26 microRNA precursor family
Rfam family: mir-26 microRNA precursor family
About the family: The hairpin precursors (represented here) are predicted based on base pairing and cross-species conservation -- their extents are not known. In this case the mature sequence is excised from the 5' arm of the hairpin.
Source: Rfam by way of RNAcentral
CUGUGACCUGGUUCAAGUAAUCCAGGAUAGGCUGUGUGCAAUCUAAUUGGCCUAUUCUUGGUUACUUGCACUGGGAGGCAA